AGCGAACGCUGGCGGCAGGCCUAACACAUGCAAGUCGAACGAACCUUUCGGGGUUAGUGGCGGACGGGUGAGUAACACGUGGGAACGUGCCUUUAGGUUCGGAAUAACUCAGGGAAACUUGUGCUAAUACCGAAUGUGCCCUUCGGGGGAAAGAUUAAUCGCCUUUAGAGCGGCCCGCGUCUGAUUAGCUAGUUGGUUGAGGUAAUGGCUCACCAAGGCGACGAUCAGUAGCUGGUCUGAGAGGAUGAUCAGCCACAUUGGGACUGAGACACGGCCCAAACUCCUACGGGAGGCAGCAGUGGGGAAUCUUGCACAAUGGGCGAAAGCCUGACGCAGCCAUGCCGCGUGAAUGAUGAAGGUCUUAGGAUUGUAAAAUUCUUUCACCGGGGACGAUAAUGACGGUACCCGGAGAAGAAGCCCCGGCUAACUUCGUG
Molecule: ribosomal RNA, 434 nt
Filed under: uncultured bacterium
Lineage: Bacteria
Description: partial 16S ribosomal RNA
Rfam family: Bacterial small subunit ribosomal RNA
Source: RNAcentral